Molecule: long non-coding RNA, 237 nt
Organism: Arabidopsis thaliana (thale cress)
Lineage: Eukaryota; Viridiplantae; Streptophyta; Magnoliopsida; Brassicales; Brassicaceae
Product: other RNA
Exons: 1
Source: RefSeq
AACCAUAAGGAGGAGGAAGCAAAUCAACAUCAUAUGGCCAAUAAAUGUUGGACAAGAACAGUCUUGAACAACAAUGCCCGCUUCUAAUUCAAGUAGAAUAGUCUUGCACACAAUGCUCCUUAUAACAUUAUCACUAAACACAAAUAAAGUAUUUAGAAGGAUAACAAGAUCUAUAAAGCAGAAAUGGCUAUUGAAAGCCUCAAUAAACUAGGAUAAGUGGUUGGUUGUCUAAACUCA